Molecule: ribosomal RNA, 330 nt
Filed under: uncultured cyanobacterium
Lineage: Bacteria; Bacillati; Cyanobacteriota
Description: bacterial SSU rRNA
Rfam family: Bacterial small subunit ribosomal RNA
Source: RNAcentral
AGUAGUUUGAUCAGUGGCUCGAGGACGAACGCUGGCGGCGUGCUUCAUACAUGCAAGUCGAACGAGAAGCUGACUUCGGUCAGUGGAAAGUGGCGGACGGGUGAGUAAUAUGUAGGAAAUCUGCCCUAGAGAGGGGGACAACAGAGGGAAACUUCUGCUAAUACCCCAUAUGAGCUUAGUUGAAAUACUAAUCUUGAAAACUCCGGUGCUCUAGGAUGAGCCUGCAUCUGAUUAGCUAGUUGGCGGUGUAAUGGACCACCAAGGCGACGAUCAGUAGCUGGUUUGAGAGGAUGAUCAGCCACAAUGGGACUGAGACACGGCCCAUACUCC